Molecule: ribosomal RNA, 236 nt
Filed under: uncultured bacterium
Lineage: Bacteria
Description: partial 16S ribosomal RNA
Rfam family: Bacterial small subunit ribosomal RNA
Source: RNAcentral
CCGCACGGGUGAGUAACACGUAUCCAACCUGCCGUCUACUCUUGGACAGCCUUCUGAAAGGAAGAUUAAUACAAGAUGGCAUCAUGAGUCCGCAUGUUCACAUGAUUAAAGGUAUUCCGGUAGACGAUGGGGAUGCGUUCCAUUAGAUAGUAGGCGGGGUAACGGCCCACCUAGUCUUCGAUGGAUAGGGGUUCUGAGAGGAAGGUCCCCCACAUUGGAACCGAGACACGGUCCAA